Molecule: small RNA, 958 nt
Filed under: Pongo abelii (Sumatran orangutan)
Lineage: Eukaryota; Metazoa; Chordata; Mammalia; Primates; Hominidae
Description: processed transcript
Source: RNAcentral
GGCUUGCUCUGCUCUUUACCUGGGGUUGCUGUCGAGGACCCUGUGCAAGACUCGGCCGGUUUUUCUUUCUCCCUGAUGGACAGACCCAAACAUAGCCGCGCAGCAUCGUGAAGGGCUGGGGCCUUCACGCGUCUGUGGCUGUGGAAGGGCCUGGUUUCCUCAGGAGGUAAAGGAAUGUUCCUGUCCCCCGGAGGAAAGAAGGUGAAAACGAAAGCGCCCUGGCUGCUCCUGGUGUGGUCCCAUUUAAAACGAGGUUGCUGAAGGCCAGGACGCGUGCUACCCGGAUGUGUGCCCAGAAACCCUGCAGCCAAGAGCAGCCGCCUGGACCACCAGCCUCCCCUUCAUCCAGCUGGCCCAGCCCAGAGCCCAGGCCCACGUCUGGUGGUUUGUGUCUUACCAGAGGCCAGGUGGGGGCUGACUUCUCUCGGUUCUCAGAAGGUCAAGCCCUCUAUUAGCAUCUCCUCGAACAGUGGGCCGGGGGCAAGGUGGUGACUCUGUUCAGUCCUUAGGAUGGCUGAAAGCCAGAAGGAGGAGAUUAUGCCGCCAGAGCAGGGAGUGCCUUUCCAGGAAAGCGGCUGCUGGAGCAGCAUGGGAGCCCAGCCCAGGGAGCGUUCUGGCAGAGACCAUUCCGGAACAUGGAUCUGCGCCGGCGGCUCCCAGGAGACCUUCCAUCUCGGAGCUCCUGUGGAGACCACGUGCCUGGCAGGCAUGUCGGGCCCCAGGCCUGUGGUGCUGAGCGGGCCUUCGGGAGCUGGGAAGAGCACCCUGCUGAAGAGGCUGUUCCAGGAGCACAGCGGCAUCUUUGGCUUCAGCGUGUCCCGUGAGUCCAGGGCUCUUGUGGAGGGGUGUGUAGACCUCAAGGCUUCUGAGUAGUCCUAGCACCGUGAGCAGGCCAGGAGCCCGAACCCAACAGGCACACCCACCCUGCAGACUGUCCGAACUCUUGCACACUCCCCCC